Pelobates cultripes (western spadefoot toad) is the source of this 240-nucleotide non-coding RNA. The record is from the annotation of a GenBank genome assembly. Lineage: Eukaryota; Metazoa; Chordata; Amphibia; Anura; Pelobatidae.
GUAAAGGUUAAUAUACAUGUGCAGAGAAUUUUGAGUGCAGCUUCUGUUCAUUAAGUGGACACAUCCAUUAUUAUAUUGACCUCAUUUGAGUUUGUUUGUCUGUUACCAUAUGGAGAGUUUUAACAUCCUGUCCAACAUGACUUGGGAGACAUACGGAGACCAGGAUCCCAUGCCUGUAUCAGAGGCUCAUAGCAAUCAGCAGAAAUCAGUCACAAUCCAUAAAUCGAGCAGUUAGCAGUC